GCCGGGAUGGCGGAAUUGGCAGACGCAAGGGACUUAAAAUCCUUUGAGGGAUAACCUCGUGCGGGUUCGACUCCCGCUCCCGGCA
RNAcentral lists this transfer RNA (85 nucleotides) under Candidatus Bipolaricaulota bacterium. RNAcentral describes it as "tRNA-Leu". It matches the Rfam family "tRNA". Rfam says of the family: Transfer RNA (tRNA) molecules are approximately 80 nucleotides in length. Lineage: Bacteria; Candidatus Bipolaricaulota. The record is from RNAcentral.